RNAcentral lists this ribosomal RNA (400 nucleotides) under uncultured bacterium. Its description in RNAcentral is "bacterial SSU rRNA". It matches the Rfam family "Bacterial small subunit ribosomal RNA", at positions 29 to 413 of the family's 1533-position model. The record is from RNAcentral.
AAUCAACGCUGGCGGCGUGCCUAACACAUGCAAGUCGAACGCGAAAGUCCCGCAAGGGAUUAGUAGAGUGGCAAACGGGUGAGUAACACGUGGGUGACCUGCCUUCGAGCGGGGGAUAACGUCCCGAAAGGGACGCUAAUACCGCAUAACAUCCUGCCUUUUAAGAGGCGGUGAUCAAAGCCGGGGAUUCGCAAGAACCUGGCACUUGAAGAGGGGCCCGCGCCUGGUUAGCUAGUUGGUGGGGAAUGGCCUACCAAGGCAACGAUCAGUAUCCGGCCUGAGGAGGGCGGACGGACACACUGGGACUGAGACACGGCCCAGACUCCUACGGGAGGCAGCAGUGGGGAAUUGUUCGCAAUGGGCGCAAGCCUGACGACGCAACGCCGCGUGGAGGAUGAAG